This 485-nucleotide ribosomal RNA is filed under the name uncultured bacterium. RNAcentral describes it as "bacterial SSU rRNA". It matches the Rfam family "Bacterial small subunit ribosomal RNA", at positions 28 to 518 of the family's 1533-position model. The record is from RNAcentral.
GAUGAACGCUGGCGGCGUGCUUAACACAUGCAAGUCGAACGAAGAUGCCGGAGUGCUUGCACUUUGGCAGACUGAGUGGCGGACGGGUGAGUAACGCGUGGGUAACCUGCCUUAUACAGGGGGAUAACAGUUGGAAACGACUGCUAAUACCGCAUAAGCCCACGGCUCGGCAUCGAGCAGAGGGAAAAGGAGCAAUCCGCUUUGAGAUGGCCUCGCGUCCGAUUAGCUAGUUGGUGAGGUAACGGCCCACCAAGGCGACGAUCGGUAGCCGGACUGAGAGGUUGAACGGCCACAUUGGGACUGAGACACGGCCCAGACUCCUACGGGAGGCAGCAGUGGGGAAUAUUGCACAAUGGGCGAAAGCCUGAUGCAGCGACGCCGCGUGAGUGAAGAAGUAAUCUCGGUAUGUAAAGCUCUAUCAGCAGGGAAGAAAAAUGACGGUACCUGACUAAGAAGACCCGGCUAACUACGUGCCAGCAGCCGAC